UACGACAUAAUAUUUCUGUACAUGAUACGAACUUUUGUCAAAUUUUUCGGUUACGAAAUGUAUUAUCGGAGAGUGUGUUACAAGGAGAGUGGAGGCGGAUGAGCUUGUAAGCUGCGGGUAUGAAUCUCGCGUGUUUUGUCUUUAACGUCAACUUGGCUUUAACGCUGCUGCAUCGAAGAUACUGCUUCGCGUUCUAAGGUAAUUGAAUGAAAAUAUUUAAACCAACCGAUUGGGAUGAAAUGUCAGGUGAAAAAAUAUGACGACGCUGAAAUACAAGCAGCAAAAUGCGAAAGACGCGAUCCAAAUGGUCUGGCCGCUUAAUUGGCGCGGAGUUCAUUUAGAAGAAUAAGCCAGGGAAUUGAGUAACGGAUCGUAAGCGCGACUAUCGAGAAAUUCUUUGGCCGUAUACGGCUGGCUAGCGAUGACUUCUCAAUGGGAGAAAGUUAUCGUUCGAGAUACUUGGCCUUCCGCGUUACAAGGAUUCGAUCGAACAGAGCGCGAAUGCCGCGUCAGACAAAACUGAUCGGCGGAAUCGCUGCUGCGGACGAAUCUAUUUUCGCCAUAUACGCCAAAGAGGAGAAAGCUACUCGACGUUGUACGCAACGUUUUCGGUUUAUCGAAAAACAAAAGGAUAUAAAAA
This is a long non-coding RNA of Bombus huntii, 640 nucleotides long. RefSeq lists it as uncharacterized. The record is from RefSeq and is a predicted model, not a curated record. The transcript has 3 exons. Lineage: Eukaryota; Metazoa; Arthropoda; Insecta; Hymenoptera; Apidae.